AUUGAACGCUGGCGGCAGGCCUAGCACAUGCAAGUCGAGCGGAUGAAGGGAGCUUGCUCCUGGAUUCAGCGGCGGACGGGUGAGUAAUGCCUAGGAAUCUGCCUGGUAGUGGGGGAUAACGUCCGGAAACGGGCGCUAAUACCGCAUACGUCCUGAGGGAGAAAGUGGGGGAUCUUCGGACCUCACGCUAUCAGAUGAGCCUAGGUCGGAUUAGCUAGUUGGUGGGGUAAAGGCCUACCAAGGCGACGAUCCGUAACUGGUCUGAGAGGAUGAUCAGUCACACGGGAACUGAGACACGGUCCAGACUCCUACGGGAGGCAGCAGUGGGGAAUAUUGGACAAUGGGCGAAAGCCUGAUCCAGCCAUGCCGCGUGUGUGAAGAAGGUCUUCGGAUUGUAAAGCACUUUAAGUUGGGAGGAAGGGCAGUAAGUUAAUACCUUGCUGUUUUGACGUUACCAACAGAAUAAGCACCGGCUAACUUCGUG
Molecule: ribosomal RNA, 484 nt
Filed under: uncultured bacterium
Lineage: Bacteria
Description: partial 16S ribosomal RNA
Rfam family: Bacterial small subunit ribosomal RNA
Source: RNAcentral